CGCAGGUCUGGGGUCACCGCUCAGCGGUUGGGGUCUCCCUUUAGAGCCUUGGGGGUCUGUGGGUCUUGCAUGCAUGGGUCCAUCCUCGGGACCUGAGGAGCUCGCGUUUCUGAGGUCUGUGCUUGGGGAUUUGGGGCCUUAGGGGCCCUUUGGGUCUGUGGUCCGGACGUCCUCGGGUUGGGGGUCCUGGGUUGCAUCAGGGUCUCUCGUCCGCGCUCCGUCGUUGGGGUCCACCCUCGCGGGUCUCGAGGGCCGUAGGGCGUCGGGUUGGGGUCUGCUCUCAGGGGCCUGGGGAGCCUGCACCUCUGGGGUGCGUUCGGGUGUGUGGGUGCUUGCGGGAAUGGAGUCUGCGCCCAGGGCUUUGGGGUAUCAGGCACCUCCGGUCUGGGGUCUGCGUUUGGGGGUCUGGGGGGUCCUCGGGCCUGGAUUUAGCCCUUGGGAGUCUCGGGUUUGCGCCGAGGGUUCCGGGUUCUCCCGCAGCCCACAGGUCCCCCUCUGUGUCUCAGUGUCAUGAGCCGCGGGACCUGGUGCGGUGCGUGGGGGGGACCUGGGUGGCGGUGGGGCGAGCCGUGGCGGUUCUGCUGUGACCGUAGGGCUGCAAGGGGAGUGGAGCACAGGUAGGGCUCGAAGGCGCUGUCAGGUGGGAAUUGGUAGGUGCAUUCUGUGAUGAGGGGCCGGGUGUGGAGCCUGUGCGUGUGAAAGCCGGUUGAGGGUUGUUUUGGAGGGAGUUAAGGUCAGAGUGCAUACGGGCUCAAGGAGUUGGUGGUUCGCUGUUUGGGGGAGUAUGAUGCAUGUGGAUUUCCCCCCAUGACUUGGGGACCUGUGUGAGUAACGGCAAAUUCGGGAAGAUUAUGUGCAUGUGAGGAGGGGCGUGUUUGGAGAGGUGCCUGCCUGUAUUCGUUUAGGUAUACUGGUUUUGUAUAUGUGGGCGAUGUAGGGGGAUCAUUUGUGUAUUAAGAGCUUGUUGCAUGGUUCUGUGUAUUCCAUUUUCUGAUUGUCAGGAGCCCUGUUUGUAUUUUGGUGUGCAGAGGGAAAGCCAGUGACUAUUUUGUGGCACUGGCAGAUGCUUCAUAUGCCAGCGUGAUGUGGUUUUGUAUGAAUCUGUAUCGUCCAAGACGGAAGAGUUGAUUCUGUGUGAGAAUUCAGGGGUGUGAGGUCAUGUAGGUGCAGGUCACGUGGUGUUAUAGGUGUAUGUGAAACAGGGUGUGGGUGAUGUGUUAGCAUAGUUGUGUACCGGAUUAUUGUAGGUAUAAUUGGGGCUUGUGGAGGGAUGUGUGUCUUUAUUCGAGGGGCAUGGUCAUUUGAAGGAGUAUUUGCUGGGGCCAUGUGUUUGUACUUUUAGGAGGGAGCCAUUAGGCUUACUUAUGUAUUUUGGGAAGUGAGUAGGUCUGUAUCUGAUGGGGAGAUAGGGCUCUGUUUAUAGGGGAGUGGGAGAAUUAUAUUUCUGUGUAUUAGAAGUACGUGAUAUGGUUAUUCGUAUUUGCAGACGUGAGAGCUGGCUGCUACUCAUCAGGGACAGUUUGGCAUUUGGAAGUUGCUUCAUGAACGGAUUGCUGGAGAUGUUCCUAUGUGUCUUGUGUAUAUAGGCUGGUUUGUGUAUAUAUAUCCGUCACCAACUGCAUGAAUUAUCAAAGUUUAUUCAUAGGGCAUGAAGUUGUUAGGAGUAUUUAAAGCGUAUUUCUUUGGAUAAGACUAGUGUGUUUCUAUAUGUGUCUGAUAGGUCAGAAUGAGGAUAAAAAUGUUCACGUAUGUUCAGGAGAAUGAUAUGUGUGUAUAUAUGAGUGUAUGUAUAGACAUGUGGUUUUUGUGUGUGUGUGUAUCUGGGGUGUGAGUUGAGUUUCUACUCAGGGUACAGGUGGACUGUGUGCACAUAUUUGCAUGGAAGGGGAUGGGGUGUGCUAGAACUGGCUCAUACUAACUUGGGAAGGUCAGUGGCGCAUAUCUAUUCUAAUUCUGUUUAGUGAUGUUAGAUAGGUAGCUUGAAAUUAGUCAUGCUGGGAAUAUUUAUACCAGGUAAAAACCUCAAAUGAAAGUUUUCCCCACCUUCCUCUGAGAGCCUUUAUUAAGCAUUUACCAGCACACCACUGGUGUGUUUGUGUCUGUCUGAAGCAGGCACCGUUGGGUGUGUAUAUGGGUGUCUCUGAAUUGUGAAUGGGGCAUCCAGAGCUUUGGGUCCUUGUGUGUGUGCAUUGACUCUGGUCAUUUUGAACCAUUGCGUUACUCCUAAUCAGGCUGGCCUCUUCUUUAAGGCCAAAGAACCCCCCAUAAAUUUGAUGAUUUCCAGUUCUUCAUGCAGAUGGGUUCAGAGGCAUCUGUAUGUUAGGCAAGUGGACACUCCUCCAGCAUUUAUGGUCUUGGCAUUUGGGUCCCAAGAUGGAUAGGCCUGGUGGACUGUGGCUGUGCAGAGCAGAACUUUUGCAAGUAUGUUGGGUGGCACGUGUCAGGUUGUGUGACAGACAGUAUUCAGAACAUUGUAGGGAUUCCUAGACAGAAGGCCAGAGGGCAUGCUCUCCCAGGCAAGCCCUUGCAAGUCACCUUGGCAGCUAUAGGUAUAGCUCUCUUUUCUGGAACAUGAUUGGUAGGCAAGGACACCCUCCACACAGGGUCCAGGAGGUUCAAGAUGCUCCUAGGGCUGGGAAGCUCAUCACAGUUUCAUGUUUCUCAGAGGGGAUGACCCUUUCUCUCUGUCCAUGUGGAGCUGCAAACCCACCAGAGGGAGCCGUGUGAUUCAUGUGGUCACCAGCUGACCACAUAGCUGCCUCCUGCCUCCCACCUCCCUUGGACAACCCACCCAGCAUUUCUGGGCCUUUGUUAUGGGCAGCCAUUCCCCUAGGAUGGUCUGUGGUCCUCUUACGCUUACCUGGACAGGUCUGGGAGUAUCACAUCUGGUGGCUGGAUGCAGGGUGGGGCUGACACCCCACAGGAGUGGGUAUCCUGUCCUCAGUGGGGUGGCUAGGAGGUCAGGGUUUCUCCUCCAGGGCGUCACAUUUGAUCAGUCCUCUCCAGAAUGUGCGAACAGAGCUGACCCAUUGGAUAGACUCUGCCAGGAGAGUAGUAGACCUGAGGACAGUUCCCGAGAGAGAAAUCUGGUUUCUUCCUUGAGUGGCUCCCACUACAGGGCCCUUCUCAGAAUGCUUCCGGAGCUCUUUAAGGAGUGCCUUCCUGACCGAGCUCUGCCCUGUUACUCCCUUGGCCCUCAUCCUGCUUCAGUAUCCUGCAGUGUUGUGCUCUCUCAAGACUAACGACCUGUGAGCCUGCUGCCUCGUGGCACACAUGUUCUUUAAGGAUGGGACCACUGAGUCUUCAUUACCUCCUUCCAGGACACAUCCAAGGCCUGACCACUGUCUGCUCCUAUCACUGUCAGGCAGAAUAAAUUAAGCCAGGUAAAUUCCAAUUCUGAUACUUGACAUCUAGCUAAGAGAGUCCAUCUCUUCUCACCUCUGUCCUAAGUCUCCAGGCAAGUCUGUUUCCAUCCCGUGGCCUUAGAUUUUGCAAGGCUGUAAUGUGAGAACUGGAUGGACCAUCUCCAAAGCCCCUUCCAACUGUGAGUUUGUCAACACAGUAGUACUGCAGAGGGUGUCUGCAGCACAGAGAAAGGAUCCAGCAGUCAGAAAGCAUACCUAGGUGACUUUAGGAGCUUGGAUGCAUCUUCUGCUUAGUGACUUACUUACCAAUCAUAUGUUUAAAGAUACAUGUUAUACAAGUAUAUAUAUUCUUAGGAGCCUCUUGUGAUGUAUUUUCUGGGUGACUGUAGAGUAAAUGUAGUCUACUUCUUGAAAGCCUUUGGGAUUAAGUUGCUUGUUUAGGCUCUGGUGUCCAGCAGACAUGGAUUCUGCUGGACAGUGUUGUUUGAUACUAGGCCAGUUCGCUAACACUUAAAUACCCUCCGUGUAUCAUAAGUUGACUAGAUUUUUUUACCCGCACAAUGGGAAUAAUAGUACUUCAUGCAGAAGACAGUUGUGAUGUCUUCCUGUAAUACUGUGUAUAUGUCUUAGCACAACAUCUAACACAUGGUUGGAAUUCAUUGCUGUGGUCAUUUCUGGGAAUAGCAGCAGCUGGAGCUUCUGGGCUGAAGAAAUGGCAUUUGGACUCUGUCAACACUCAUAUGUGAGCCAUUACUCUUGGAUCUCAGUCCUUUAGCUAGAUCUCAAUCACUUGCAAUAGAAAUGUGUGUAUAUGUAAUUUUUUAAAAAAGAUGAGUGAUAUCUAGAGCUCUGAUUUGGAGCUACUAUGACACUUUUAUGAACAAUCUUGUUCAUGUGUGCAAGCGCUUCUCAAGGUGGAUAUUCCUAGAAGUGGUGAUACGAGUAUCUCCGACUUUACCAUUUAAUAACAAACUGUUUUCCUAAGGAACAGAUCAGGGAUCCCUGGGUGGUGCAGCGGUUUGGCGCCUGCCUUUGGUCCAGGGCCCGAUCCGGGAGACCCUGGAUCGAUUCCCACGUCGGGCUCCCGGUGCAUGGAGCCUGCUUCUCCCUCUGCCUGUGUCUCUGCCUC
Molecule: long non-coding RNA, 4494 nt
Organism: Canis lupus familiaris (dog)
Lineage: Eukaryota; Metazoa; Chordata; Mammalia; Carnivora; Canidae
Exons: 7
Source: RefSeq, a predicted model, not a curated record